UGUUUGACUCUCUGUCACAUGUGUGGAGGUGCUUUUGGAGAGAAAAGCUCAGGUCCCCUGGAGCUGGAGUCACGGGUGAUUACGAGCCGCCCAGUGUGGGUGUUGUGAACUGAUCCUGGGUCCACUGCAAGGGCUGCAAGUGCUCUUAACUGCUGAGCCAUCUCCUCAUACCCUCUGAAAGCAUUUGGAUACAAGUGAAGAAAAAGCGAGAGCAAGCCAUGUGGACAGCUGGAAGCACAAGUGGAAAGGCAAGUCAUAUGACUUGGGCUCAAGAGCAACUCUCUGGCUGCUGUGUUGAGAUUAGACUAAAGGAGGUCAAAGAAAGAAACGGGACAAAAUUAAGACGCCAUUACAAUAACACAGGUAGAAAAUGGAGGCAGCUGAAACCACGGUAGUGGGAGCGAAAAUGCUAUGUAUAUAUUGAAGGAGAAGAGAACGGAAUUUUCUCAAGUGCUGUGCUUAGACAAGGGCUGAUUUUAACUGGGUGUGUCCUUCUUAUACAACUUAUGAGUUCUUUCUUUUUUUUUUAAAGAUUUAUUUUAUUUAUUAUAUAUAAGUACACUGUAGCUG
RNAcentral lists this long non-coding RNA (570 nucleotides) under Rattus norvegicus (Norway rat). Its description in RNAcentral is "long non-coding RNA NONRATT030765". The record is from RNAcentral. Lineage: Eukaryota; Metazoa; Chordata; Mammalia; Rodentia; Muridae.